Molecule: ribosomal RNA, 1454 nt
Filed under: uncultured organism
Description: SSU rRNA
Rfam family: Bacterial small subunit ribosomal RNA
Source: RNAcentral
GAUGAACGCUAGCUACAGGCUUAACACAUGCAAGUCGAGGGGCAUCAGGAAGAAAGCUUGCUUUCUUUGCUGGCGACCGGCGCACGGGUGAGUAACACGUAUCCAACCUGCCCUUUACUCGGGGAUAGCCUUUCGAAAGAAAGAUUAAUACCCGAUGGCAUAAUGAUUCCGCAUGGUUUCAUUAUUAAAGGAUUCCGGUAAAGGAUGGGGAUGCGUUCCAUUAGGUUGUUGGUGAGGUAACGGCUCACCAAGCCUUCGAUGGAUAGGGGUUCUGAGAGGAAGGUCCCCCACAUUGGAACUGAGACACGGUCCAAACUCCUACGGGAGGCAGCAGUGAGGAAUAUUGGUCAAUGGGCGCUAGCCUGAACCAGCCAAGUAGCGUGAAGGAUGAAGGCUCUAUGGGUCGUAAACUUCUUUUAUAUAAGAAUAAAGUGCAGUAUGUAUACUGUUUUGUAUGUAUUAUAUGAAUAAGGAUCGGCUAACUCCGUGCCAGCAGCCGCGGUAAUACGGAGGAUCCGAGCGUUAUCCGGAUUUAUUGGGUUUAAAGGGAGCGUAGGUGGACUGGUAAGUCAGUUGUGAAAGUUUGCGGCUCAACCGUAAAAUUGCAGUUGAUACUGUCAGUCUUGAGUACAGUAGAGGUGGGCGGAAUUCGUGGUGUAGCGGUGAAAUGCUUAGAUAUCACGAAGAACUCCGAUUGCGAAGACAGCUCACUGGACUGCAACUGACACUGAUGCUCGAAAGUGUGGGUAUCAAACAGGAUUAGAUACCCUGGUAGUCCACACAGUAAACGAUGAAUACUCGCUGUUUGCGAUAUACAGUAAGCGGCCAAGCGAAAGCAUUAAGUAUUCCACCUGGGGAGUACGCCGGCAACGGUGAAACUCAAAGGAAUUGACGGGGGCCCGCACAAGCGGAGGAACAUGUGGUUUAAUUCGAUGAUACGCGAGGAACCUUACCCGGGCUUAAAUUGCAGUGGAAUGAUGUGGAAACAUGUCAGUGAGCAAUCACCGCUGUGAAGGUGCUGCAUGGUUGUCGUCAGCUCGUGCCGUGAGGUGUCGGCUUAAGUGCCAUAACGAGCGCAACCCUUAUCUUUAGUUACUAACAGGUCAUGCUGAGGACUCUAGAGAGACUGCCGUCGUAAGAUGUGAGGAAGGUGGGGAUGACGUCAAAUCAGCACGGCCCUUACGUCCGGGGCUACACACGUGUUACAAUGGGGGGUACAGAAGGCAGCUAGCGGGUGACCGUAUGCUAAUCCCAAAAGCCUCUCUCAGUUCGGAUCGAAGUCUGCAACCCGACUUCGUGAAGCUGGAUUCGCUAGUAAUCGCGCAUCAGCCACGGCGCGGUGAAUACGUUCCCGGGCCUUGUACACACCGCCCGUCAAGCCAUGGGAGCCGGGGGUACCUGAAGUACGUAACCGCAAGGAUCGUCCUAGGGUAAAACUGGUGACUGGGGCUAAG